UCCAGCGUAAUCGAAUACUGCGUAAGCGUGGCAGCGUUAUUGCAGGACAGUGUGAUCCUGGCUCACUGGACCUGCACUUGUGACUGCAUGACUAGAGUGCGUCAGAGGGAGUGGAUUCGCGUGUAGCAGUGAAAUGCGUAGAGAUGCGAGACUCGAUGCGAAGCAGCUCCUGGGAUGACACUGACGCUCAUGCACGAAAGCGUGGGGGAGCAAACAGGAUUAGAUACCCUGGUAGUCCACGCCCUAAACGAUGUCAACUAGUUGUCGGGGAUUCAUUUCCUUGGUAACGCAAGCUAACGCGUGAAGUUGACCGCCUGGGGAGUACGGCCGCAAGGUUAAAACUCAAAGGAAUUGACGGGGACCCGCACAAGCGGUGGAUGAUGUGGAUUAAUUCGAUGCAACGCGAAAAACCUUACCUACGCUUGACAUGCCAGGAACUUUCCAGAGAUGGAUUGGUGCCCGAAAGGGAACCUGGACACAGGUGCUGCAUGGCUGUCGUCAGCUCGUGUCGUGAGAUGUUGGGUUAAGUCCCGCAACGAGCGCAACCCUUUUCCUUAGUUGCUACGCAAGGGCACUCUAGAGAUACUGCCGGUGACAAACCGGAGGAGGGUGGGGAUGACGUCAAGUCCUCAUGGCCCUUAUGUGUAGGGCUUCACACGUCAUACAAUGGUCGGUACAGAGGGUCGCCAACCCGCGAGGGGGAGCCAAUCCAGAAAACCGAUCGUAGUCCGGAUUGCACUCUGCAACUCGAGUGCAUGAAGUCGGAAUCGCUAGUAAUCGCGGAUCAGCAUGUCGCGGUGAAUACGUUCCCGGGUCUUGCACUCACCGCCCGUC
RNAcentral lists this ribosomal RNA (834 nucleotides) under uncultured bacterium. RNAcentral's name for it is "bacterial SSU rRNA". It matches the Rfam family "Bacterial small subunit ribosomal RNA", at positions 534 to 1398 of the family's 1533-position model. The record is from RNAcentral.